This 273-nucleotide ribosomal RNA is filed under the name uncultured bacterium. RNAcentral describes it as "partial 16S ribosomal RNA". It matches the Rfam family "Bacterial small subunit ribosomal RNA", at positions 524 to 796 of the family's 1533-position model. The record is from RNAcentral.
UACAGAGGUCUCAAGCGUUGUUCGGAAUUACUGGGCGUAAAGGGUGCGUAGGCCGCACGGGCAGUCAAAUGUGAAAUUCUGGGGCUCAACCUCAGAAUUGCGCUUGAUACUUCCGUGCUCGAACCUUGGAGAGGAGUCUGGAAUUCUCGGUGUAGCAGUGAAAUGCGUGGAUAUCGAGAAGAACACUAAGGGCGAAGGCAAGACUCUAGACAAGUGUUGACGCUGAUGCACGAAGGCUAGGGUAGCGAACGGGAUUAGAUACCCCCGUAGUCC